AAAAUAUUAAUUAAUCUUUUUUUUUUCUUAGAGGUAAAAGAUUUUACUAAUGUAGAAUGUUCAAGAUCCAUGCUACAUCGUCAAGUACAAGGCUUUAGAUCCAAUAAAAUAGAGCAAUCAACAAAGUAUAAAUCUAAACCGAAAACCAAAUGACUCGAUGUCUAGAUUCGAAAGAAUUUUAGAGUCUUGUCAUUUCUCUUCACCCAAAAACUCCAGUACUCUGGCGUUUACUAUCCACGUGAUGAGGAUUGGAAAGUUUUGAUGCCUAUUACAGUAGCCAACUGAUGGACAAAAGGGUUAACCAGCAGCCAAAAAGAAUAGAAUUGAAGCCUUCUAGAAGAAGAUGAGACAACAUUCAAGCAUAUGCAUCAUCAGAUUUGAGGUAGACGAUGAUGACUAGAACUCAAUGGAAAGGGAGAAUGACAACCUCUACAAUCAAGUCAAGCUACUACCGUUAGAGCCAUGAAUAACACUCUCCAAUCAAAAACAACACCAGCGAAAGUGCAAAAGAGAGACUGCUUCAUGAACGACGAUGUCCUCCUCAUCACUGAGAGAUCUUAAUAAGCCCAGAUCUGGAGAAGAGAUUGAAAACGUCCCAACGAAGGUAAGGAUGGUGUGCUCUUUAGCGUCUCAAUCUCGUCUUCCAACGCCAAGUUUCGCGAGCCACUAUCCAACAGUCCAUCAUUGAUUCUAGGCUGAGAAAAUAGUCAAUCUUGAGAGGACACUCACUUCUAAAGCAAGCAGGAAGAGAGAACUACCGUGAAUUGAUGAAGAACAACCACCUGCAUGCAAUUACACAAAAACACCAACCAAAGAAGAAAAGGAUCAAGGAAAAGCAAAUCUAAGAAAACUCAUAUUCUAAACCUUUGGAUUUGCAACCCUCGAAAAAAAAAGAAAUAAAACGACAGAAAUUAAAAACGAAACAGAAAAGAAAAAAAAAAACCCACCCAUAGGCGGACGAAAACCCACUCUUCGGGUGGUUAGGGGAAGGUCCCCUCCUGCUCGGACGGAGCAGAAGAGAUGGGGAAGGUCCCCUCCUGACGGUGCGGCAGAAACGAGGAGAUUGAACUCCCAUCGAAGAAAGAAAAGAAGAGAAAAAGACUCCCCCAAAACGAGAGAGACAGAUAAACCCCCAACCCCAAUAGGCUAGAUAAUUAAUCUUUACUUAACAGAGCAUAUUUAUGCAUUCUGAAUCUUGACCGGUUUAGAACAAAAGAAAUUAAUUUAAUUAAUCUCUUCUAUGAAAGAAUUUUAUUUUCUUAAUUUAAACAUUUUCAUUUUACAAAGAAUAAAAAUCAUAUAAAAUUUCAUAAGAAUUCAUCAGAAUUCCUUUCUUGCAAAAUUGAAAAGAAAUUAUUCAAUAAAUAUUAAGCCGAGUUUAAAUAUUUCAAUUGUCUCAUCAAGUUUUCGUUUUAGG
Molecule: long non-coding RNA, 1417 nt
Filed under: Manihot esculenta (cassava)
Lineage: Eukaryota; Viridiplantae; Streptophyta; Magnoliopsida; Malpighiales; Euphorbiaceae
Description: long non-coding RNA (MESC_LNC011443)
Source: RNAcentral